CGGAGAAUGGCUCAGCUUGGUAGAGCACUACGCUUGGGACGUAGGGGUCGCAGGUUCGAAUCCUGUUUCUCCGACCA
Molecule: transfer RNA, 77 nt
Filed under: Bacilli bacterium
Lineage: Bacteria; Bacillati; Bacillota; Bacilli
Description: tRNA-Pro
Rfam family: tRNA
About the family: Transfer RNA (tRNA) molecules are approximately 80 nucleotides in length. Their secondary structure includes four short double-helical elements and three loops (D, anti-codon, and T loops).
Source: RNAcentral